GUGCCCGUAGCUCAACUGGAUAGAGUAUCUGACUACGAAUCAGGGGGUUGGAGGUUCGAAUCCUCCCGGGCACGCCA
This 77-nucleotide transfer RNA is filed under the name Halanaerobacter jeridensis. RNAcentral describes it as "tRNA-Arg". It matches the Rfam family "tRNA". From Rfam's summary of the family: Transfer RNA (tRNA) molecules are approximately 80 nucleotides in length. Their secondary structure includes four short double-helical elements and three loops (D, anti-codon, and T loops). Further hydrogen bonds mediate the characteristic L-shaped molecular structure. tRNAs have two regions of fundamental functional importance: the anti-codon, which is responsible for specific mRNA codon recognition, and the 3' end, to which the tRNAs corresponding amino acid is attached (by aminoacyl-tRNA synthetases). tRNAs cope with the degeneracy of the genetic code in two manners: having more than one tRNA (with a specific anti-codon) for a particular amino acid; and 'wobble' base-pairing, i.e. permitting non-standard base-pairing at the 3rd anti-codon position. The record is from RNAcentral. RNAcentral also lists the same sequence under 1 other name. Lineage: Bacteria; Bacillati; Bacillota; Clostridia; Halanaerobiales; Halobacteroidaceae.